UACGUAGGGGGCAAGCGUUGUCCGGAAUCAUUGGGCGUAAAGCGCGCGUAGGCGGCCCGAUAAGUCCGCUGUGAAAGUCAACGGCUCAACUGUUGAAUGCCGGUGGAUACUGUCGGGCUAGAGUCCGGAAGAGGCAAGUGGAAUUCCUGGUGUAGCGGUGGAAUGCGCAGAUAUCAGGAGGAACACCCAUAGCGAAGGCAGCUUGCUGGGACGGUACUGACGCUAAGGCGCGAAAGCGUGGGGAGCGAACAGG
This 253-nucleotide ribosomal RNA is filed under the name uncultured bacterium. Its description in RNAcentral is "partial 16S ribosomal RNA". It matches the Rfam family "Bacterial small subunit ribosomal RNA", at positions 524 to 776 of the family's 1533-position model. The record is from RNAcentral.